AGGAAAUAUAGAAUUUAACGGCGUUUAUUUAGCGACGUUUUUUUAAACACCACUGUUUCUAACCUUUAACGACGUUUUUUAAACGUCACAUUUUAUUUUGAUUAAAACGGUACCGUUUAAGGAAUACAAGUCGUUUUUUAAACGUCUUCACAUGUAUUACAAUAACGUUAUUCCUCCGUGUUUCUCUUAGCUCUGUGAGAAUCAGAGCCGUUCUCUCACUCUCUUCAAGCCCUCACUAAUCCCUCAAAUCUCUCACUCACUCACUCACUCACUCGAUCGAUCGCUCUCUCUCUCUCUCUCUCUCUCUAAACCCUUGAGUCUCAGAGAUUAAGAUUCAACCUUAUUCAGCUAGGUUUCAUCUCAGAUCCAAUCUCAGAGUGUUUUCGAUUUCGAAGUUCUCUCUCUCUCGAUUUCGAAGCUCGACCGCCGCCACCAUCACCACCACCGUUGACUAAGGCUUCGCUUGAUCAAUCUCUACCUUUCCAGGGAAACGGUGCUAUUGCACUUCUUCUUGGUGCUUUCUACUUGCUCAGUGGAUGCUACUCACUGCACUUGGGUCACUUCAGAGGCAUAUUCAUCUCCCUCAAUUGUCUUAGCUGCAAGGGGUGCACAUGGUAACAGGGUCAUUUUUUAUGAUUACCGCGAAGCAUACUUCUGGCUUUGGCAGAAUACUCCUCCAGAUGCUAAGGUGAUGUCCUGGUGGGAUUAAGGAUUUGACCGUUUGCUGAAAAAUAGCUUAAAGAAAUUGUAUUCUAAUCUUGUUAUAUAUCUUUUUUUGAACCAAACCUUCUUUUUAUAGUGAUAAAAACACUGAAUGGUUCUGUUUUUUU
This is a non-coding RNA of Camellia sinensis, 830 nucleotides long. The record is from RefSeq and is a predicted model, not a curated record. NCBI's taxonomy places the organism in Eukaryota, Viridiplantae, Streptophyta, Magnoliopsida, Ericales, Theaceae.